Molecule: ribosomal RNA, 1858 nt
Filed under: human gut metagenome
Description: bacterial LSU rRNA
Rfam family: Bacterial large subunit ribosomal RNA
Source: RNAcentral
UUAGUGAUAGUAGACCCGAAACCGUAGUGAUCUAUCCAUGGCCAGGUUGAAGCACAGGUAAAAUUGUGUGGAGGACCGAACUCGUGAGCGUUGAAAAGCUUUGGGAUGAGUUGUGGAUAGGGGUGAAAUGCCAAUCGAACACGGAGAUAGCUGGUUCUCCCCGAAAUAGCUUUAGGGCUAGCCUCGAGGUUGAGAGUAUAGGCGGUAGAGCACUGAUCGGGCUAGGGGCCAUACCGGUUACCGAACCUAGUCAAACUACGAAUGGCUAUACUUAUACUCGGGAGUCAGACAGUGAAUGAUAAGGUCCAUUGUCAAGAGGGAAACAGCCCAGAACACCGACUAAGGUCCCCAAUGUCAUACUAAGUGGCGAAGGAUGUGGAAUUUCCAAAACAACCAGGAUGUUGGCUUAGAAGCAGCCACCAUUUAAAGAGUGCGUAAUAGCUCACUGGUCGAGAGACUCUGCGCCGAAAAUGUCCGGGGCUAAAGUAUGAAACCGAAGUCGUGUCAUAUGCAGCAAUGUAUAUGGGUAGGGGAGCGUUCUCAUCGGAUUGAAGCAGUACCGUAAGGAGUUGUGGACUGGUGAGAAGUGAGAAUGUCGGUAUGAGUAGCGAAAAGAAAGGUGAGAAUCCUUUCCACCGAAAGCCUAAGGGUUCCUGGGCAACGAUCGUCGACCCAGGGUAAGUCGGGGCCUAAUCCGAGGCGCAGACGCAUAGGAGAUGGACAACAGGUUGAAAUUCCUGUACCGACACCGUCCGAUAGAGCGAGGGAGUGACACAAGAAGGAACGUUCGCAUGCGAAUGGAAGAGCAUGUCCAAGCCGGUAGGUAGCGUAUCAGGCAAAUCCGGUACGCCGAAAGCCGAGAGGUGAUGGGGAGGCUGUAGAGAUACAGAGGAAGGAACGGGGACUCAAUUGUCAAGAAAAGCUUCUAGCGAGGACGGUGGCGCCCGUACCGAAACCGACACAGGUAGGCAGGACGAGAAUUCUAAGGUGCGCGGGAAACCCCUCGUUAAGGAACUCGGCAAAAUGUAUCCGUAACUUCGGGAAAAGGAUAACCCAGAGUAGGUGAAGGGCAGAAACGGCCGGAGCCGAAAUGGGUGGCACAAGAGAGGCCCAAGCGACUGUUUAGCACAAACACAGGCGUCUGCGAAAGAGAAAUCUGAAGUAUAGAUGCUGACACCUGCCCGGUGCUGGAAGGUUAAGAGGACGUGUGAGCCGCAAGGCGAAGCAGAGAAUUGAAGCCCCAGUAAACGGCGGCCGUAACUAUAACGGUCCUAAGGUAGCGAAAUUCCUUGUCGGGUAAGUUCCGACCCGCACGAAAGGUGUAACGAUUUGGGCACUGUCUCAACGAGGGACCCGGUGAAAUUGAAGUACCUGUGAAGAUGCAGGUUACCCGCGACUGGACAGAAAGACCCCAUGGAGCUUUACUGCAACCUGAGAUGGGAUUUGGGUAUAAGACGUACAGGAUAGUUGGGAGGCGCGGAAGUGAGGACGGCAGUUUUCACGGAGCCGACGGUGGGAUACCAACCUUGUUGUACUGAAAUUCUAACGAGAGCCGUAACGAGGCUUCGGACAGUCUCAGGCGGGCAGUUUGACUGGGGCGGUCGCCUCCGAAAGAGCAACGGAGGCGCCCAAAGGUUCCCUCAGCGCGGACGGAAACCGCGCGCAGAGUGUAAAGGCAGAAGGGAGCUUGACUGCGAGACGGACAGGUCGAGCAGGGACGAAAGUCGGGCUUAGUGAUCCGGUGGAAGAGAGUGGAAUUGCCAUCGCACAACGGAUAAAAGCUACCCUGGGGAUAACAGGCUUAUCUCUCCCAAGAGUCCAUAUCGACGGGGAGGUUUGGCACCUCGAUGUCGGCUCA